RNAcentral lists this ribosomal RNA (253 nucleotides) under uncultured bacterium. RNAcentral's name for it is "partial 16S ribosomal RNA". It matches the Rfam family "Bacterial small subunit ribosomal RNA", at positions 524 to 776 of the family's 1533-position model. The record is from RNAcentral.
UACGAAGGGGGCUAGCGUUGCUCGGAAUCACUGGGCGUAAAGGGUGCGUAGGCGGGUCUUUAAGUCAGGGGUGAAAUCCUGGAGCUCAACUCCAGAACUGCCUUUGAUACUGAAGAUCUUGAGUUCGGGAGAGGUGAGUGGAACUGCGAGUGUAGAGGUGAAAUUCGUAGAUAUUCGGAAGAACACCAGUGGCGAAGGCGGCUCACUGGACUGGUAUUGACGCUGAGGUGCGAAAGCGUGGGGAGCAAACAGG